Non-coding RNA from Ciona savignyi (Pacific transparent sea squirt), 49 nucleotides. Lineage: Eukaryota; Metazoa; Chordata; Ascidiacea; Phlebobranchia; Cionidae. The record is from Rfam.
GGCGCCAUGGCUUAGUGGUAAAGCGCCUGUCUAGUAAACAGGAGAUCCU